RNAcentral lists this transfer RNA (73 nucleotides) under Gulosibacter sp. 10. It matches the Rfam family "tRNA". From Rfam's summary of the family: Transfer RNA (tRNA) molecules are approximately 80 nucleotides in length. Lineage: Bacteria; Bacillati; Actinomycetota; Actinomycetes; Micrococcales; Microbacteriaceae. The record is from Rfam by way of RNAcentral.
GGGCCUAUAGCUCAGUUGGCAGAGCAGCGGACUUUUAAUCCGCGGGUCGUGGGUUCGAGCCCCACUGGGCCCA